RNAcentral lists this transfer RNA (72 nucleotides) under Amicula sp. isolate GU52X-4 cfCalB7. Its description in RNAcentral is "tRNA-Asn". It matches the Rfam family "tRNA". Rfam says of the family: Transfer RNA (tRNA) molecules are approximately 80 nucleotides in length. Their secondary structure includes four short double-helical elements and three loops (D, anti-codon, and T loops). The record is from RNAcentral. Lineage: Eukaryota; Bacillariophyta; Bacillariophyceae; Diploneidales; Diploneidaceae.
UUUUCAGUAGCUCAGCGGUAGAGCAAGUGGCUGUUAACCACUGGGUCAUUGGUUCAAAUCCAAUUUGAAAAG